Molecule: non-coding RNA, 78 nt
Organism: Podarcis lilfordi (Lilford's wall lizard)
Lineage: Eukaryota; Metazoa; Chordata; Lepidosauria; Squamata; Lacertidae
Source: the annotation of a GenBank genome assembly
ACCCACUGCUGUUAGCUCAGUCAACAAAGCAUGAGAUUCUUAAUCUCAGGAUUGUGGGUUCAAGGUCCACGCUGGGCA